AUGGCACAAGACACAGUGCUGUUGCUCGACACCGCGCAAGAUCGCCAGUUGGAGCCAGAUGAGGUCGCGCUUCGCAAAGAUCUUAAAUCGCGGAUUCUUGGUCUUACGGUCAUUGAGAGAAUCAAAGCUCGCCAGCGUGCCAGGGUCAAUACAUUGAGGGCUGGAGAUGCGAACACCAAGUUCUUUCACAUCAAGGCCAAUGCUAGGAGGCGCAAAAACUUCAUUGCUUCUCUCUCCUCAGAUGCCGGCUUGGCAACGGAGCACGGGCACAAAGCGCAG
Molecule: ribosomal RNA, 279 nt
Filed under: Triticum aestivum (bread wheat)
Lineage: Eukaryota; Viridiplantae; Streptophyta; Magnoliopsida; Poales; Poaceae
Description: partial small subunit ribosomal RNA
Source: RNAcentral